This 1432-nucleotide long non-coding RNA is filed under the name Homo sapiens (human). RNAcentral describes it as "non-protein coding LINC01351:22". The record is from RNAcentral. Lineage: Eukaryota; Metazoa; Chordata; Mammalia; Primates; Hominidae.
AGAUGCAGCAGCGGCGGCAGCAGCCCUCCCAGGUCCCACUUCUUUGGCGUUCCUGCUGCCUGUGACUCAAGACAAUUGACUUCCACCUGAACCCUCAGCUCCGAACGCCUUGCAUUAGAAGCUAGAGCUUUGGAGGUUCUGAGGACGGUCCCUGGGGAGCAAGUGGUAGGUUUCGAGGCGCCCGCUUCCCCUCUGAUUCCUGCAGUAACUGAGAGAGAGUGUGCCAGAAAUGGCUUUGCUGCCGAAUGCAUUAUCUUGCCAUUUUCGUGUCCCAAUACUGAACAAACGAUCGCCUGAUCGAUCGAGACUGAGGCGCUGAAUGAUAGAGGGAAUAAACAUUUGCCCUGGAUAAAAAUGUUCUUGGCUGUUGUCCAGCUCUAAUGAUGUCCUAGAGCAGAAGUGUUUCUUCUGAUGUCUCAUUUUAACAAGAGGAUGAUGUCUGUGUAUGUCUCUGUGUUUUAGAGAGGCUGGCAAAUGCUGCUAAGAGGAUCUGAGGUUCACAUAAAGAGGAUGAAAAUUCUGAAUUACUUUCAUUGCAAAUAAACCUUAACAAUUGUGAGAGUUAGAGAGCAUACUUUUCACAUAAGACUUUGGUAUGCUGCCUAAAGCUACUUACAUAAUUUGCUAUUCAGAGAAAUGCAUUUGUUUAUUGAGGACCCACCCGGACUUAAAUUGGAAAAAUGUAACAUUCAGAUUUUUAUUUUAUAUGUGAAAUAAAUGUGUGAUUGCUGUUCUUAAAAAUUUGAAAAAAAAAGGAUAACAAGAAUAUUAAUUUUGUGACCCAUAGUUCAUGAACUUUAAAAGUGUUUACAGCAUUUAAAGUUUAUUUAACAAUUUAAGUAUUUGAGCACUAUACUAAUUCAUAUGGUUACAUUUGAUCAACUCCUUCAUGAAGCCAUAGGCUUUAUAUCUCCUAGCUGCCUUUUACCUUCAGAACAAAUCUGGUUUAUACUUAGAUUGCUCCAAAAGUUAUGCAUUUUAAUUUUAUGUUGAAAAUGUCUUUCUUAGAUAAUCACGGUGCAUAUUUGCAGCUAAUACUUUAGUAUAUUUUAUAUUAUUGGUAAUGCUUUUGUUAGCCAUCCUGGUGCUGCCUUCUUAUAAGAGCUAUGUAUGAGAACCAACUAAUAUAUUUCUUUUUUUUUUUUUUCUUUUUCUUACCUAUUAACCCACUAAAAUUUCUAAUCUAAAAGCAAUAUUCAAGUUACAUUUUAUUACAGAAAUUGGAAAGCAAUUUGCCUGGGAAGCAAAAUGUUGAUAUGAUUCAGGUGAUUUUAACAUUAAAUCUAACUUGUAACAAAAACGGAUUAUAUAAAGAUAAAUAAAUUGAGACUAUUAUUUGCAUAGCAAAGAAAGUCAAACAUGACCCACACAUUUAUGCACAUAUAAUUAAUUUCAAUAAAAUGUUUAUAUUUAUUCAUUUUCAUCUCUGCUA